CAAGGUUUCCGUAGGGGAACCUGCGGAAGGAUCAUUG
RNAcentral lists this ribosomal RNA (37 nucleotides) under Sabulina thymifolia. Its description in RNAcentral is "partial 18S ribosomal RNA". Lineage: Eukaryota; Viridiplantae; Streptophyta; Magnoliopsida; Caryophyllales; Caryophyllaceae. The record is from RNAcentral.